GGGGAAUAUUGGGCAAUGGGGGCAACCCUGACCCAGCAACGCCGCGUGAAGGAAGAAGGCCUUCGGGUUGUAAACUUCUUUGACGAGGGACGAAACAAAUGACGGUACCUCGAAAACAAGCCACGGCUAACUACGUGCCAGCAGCCGCGGUAAUACGUAGGUGGCAAGCGUUGUCCGGAUUUACUGGGUGUAAAGGGCGCGUAGGCGGGAUUGCAAGUCAGAUGUGAAAUACCGGGGCUUAACCCCGGGGCUGCAUUUGAAACUGCAGUUCUUGAGUGUCGGAGAGGCAGGCGGAAUUCCUAGUGUAGCGGUGAAAUGCGUAGAUAUUAGGAGGAACACCAGUGGCGAAGGCGGCCUGCUGGACGAUAACUGACGCUGAGGCGCGAAAGCGUGGGGAGCAAAC
RNAcentral lists this ribosomal RNA (403 nucleotides) under uncultured bacterium. RNAcentral's name for it is "bacterial SSU rRNA". It matches the Rfam family "Bacterial small subunit ribosomal RNA", at positions 356 to 773 of the family's 1533-position model. The record is from RNAcentral.